CGGAAUUUUAGCUGGUUCUUUUGCUAUGCCCAUAGGUAUGAGAAAAUGGCCUAUCAUCCUUAGCUAUAGUUCAUAAAGUUCAUGGCUUCCUGUUCCUUUAAACCUUGUUUUUAAUGCUGCAAUUGCUUUUGCUUUUAGAGUUAAGUUAAUGCAGAAACUAUGUGACAACAUAGGCGUUGUCCACCCCGGCAGUCAGAGGGUGGAGGAUGCCUGCAAGGAAAGAUAACCAAGAAAAUAACAGAUAGAGAUGUUUUUCUGUAACUGUGAUAUCUUCUAGUCAACGAAGCACUCAUACUCUGUACAUGCCUAAAUGCUUAGCUUCUUAUUGGUUGUUGCAUUUUCAGAACUGUAUUAUGAUUGGUGAGAAAGUUCUGCCAUGGUAUCUAAGGGGAACUGACUCUAUAAAUAUGUUGACAUUUCCUGAAAUUAUUGGGCAGUUUCCUCAGACUGCCACCUUGCAGCGCUGCUCGUAAUAAACCUUCUAAGGAGAGAGAAAUUGUGUCUUGAGAGUCUUUGACCACCACUCAGCGAACCACACAGGAACCCGUGGUUUCGGGUUCCGCCACAAUUUGGCGACGAGGACGGAUGAGUGGUACACUGGAGAGCCUCUGCUCAUGGAGACCUGACACAGGAAAUCCUCCAACGUGCGCACAGAUCAGGUGAGUAGGAACCACAUUAAAAUCCUACAACAGGAGGGCUUUCCUUGGUCAACUCUCCCUGUGGCUGGAGUUUUCUAGCGGUAAGUGUCAUGUAAAGUCAGUGACGCCUGUUUUAAGGCAUUCUCUUUCAUUAGAAGAAGAAGAAAAAAAAAGCAGGGAAAAAUUGGGAUCCAGAGAUAGGUUGGGGAGUGAGACUUGCUUGAAUGUGUCAAUGGUGAAUGGCACUGGGAAAACCCGUCACUCAUAGUGCUAGCCCCACCAGGCCGUGACCGCUAUGACGUUGUACGGCAGGUCCAGCUGCGGAUGAAUGAUAAGCUGAUAAGCAAGUCACAUACUUUGGGAACGCGCGUUGAUAAGACCUCCUGGAAGUGAGGCAGCUUAAAAAGAUUUGUGGUCAGACCUAAAAAUAAAUUAAGAAGAAAAAAAAAAAGAAGGAAAAAAAUUGCUCUAAGACCUAGGCAAGCAGGAGUUCCUCUGAUAAGGGUCCUAAAAGCGCAUUGACGCUAAACUGGCGGAGCAUAGAUUGCUCCUAAAAGUCAUUGUGGUCCACAGUGGACCCGGUUUGGGUAAGCCCUCUAAGGAGGCACCAGGAAGGACCCGGUGUGGGUAAGCCCUCUAAGGAGGCACCAGGAAAGUCUGGGGUCGCGCCCCAGCCUGGGUAGAAGACCCAGUCCGGCCAAGAAAAUAAUAAUAAUAAAAAAAAAAUAGAAAAAGAGGAAACAGGAGGAAAAAGAGAAAAAGAAAAAAAAGGAACAAGAAAUAAUCAGCUGAAAGAGCUCAGAUAAAGAAACCUUAACAGUAGAGACACACGUUCCUAACAGGAACAUUUAUGUCUGUUUGUUUGUCUUCUUUCCUACCCCAAUUCCUAUUAUGAGCCUGAGAAAUAACAGGACUCCUAUAUAAGCCAUACCUGUGUUAUGUGUAAUGUGACAUGUCUGAAUGAGUUGCCCUGAAUGAGUGGACCACCUUUCCUACUACCUUCCACUUAUGAGCUGUGCCAAUCAAAACUCUAUCUAUCGUGCCUUCCCUUGCAAAGGGACAGUGCCGUUAGGGGGGUGAAAAAAGCACAGACACCCUGUUAUAAGCCCUGUUGUGAAAACCCCUGUUGUGCUUGUGCCCAAAAACCCAGAAGUUGCCACGUACGAAAGCUCUUCACGUGCUUGAGUGUGGUAACGAGAAACGGUGUGCAUAGAUAAGAACAGAAGAAAUAGCUGCUGUGGUUUUUUUUGUAAGUAACCUCAGACUGUGGAGCAAAAGAGAUAAUGGGAAGCUCCAGGUCAAAAACAGGCAGCCCAGAAUCAGAAAAAACCCCGUUAAAGAAAAUGUGUAAGAUCUACAAAGAUCGUAUGCCAUCUAGGUUGAAUUUAAAAAGAUUAGAAAUUCUACGGGCCGCCACCCAAUACUGGGAUGACAUCCAAGAAAGAAAACUAGGAAAAGAAAAAUUAGAAACCAAGUUGCUAACCUUGCAAAUAGAACAGCUCCAGACUCAAAUCCUACCUUAAGAAGUUUGGCUAAACAGUGCAUAGACGCAGUAUUGCAACUAAGAAGACCUAAAAAUAAAAACAGCUAUGAUACCAAAUUUCUCAUUAUUAGCAAGCUACAUGAUACAAAUUGAUACAAGCCACAAGAUUCAGUCCCUGAACCGCUAAAAUGGUCAGAGAUGAGAAGACUUAAUAACCUCAUUAACCAAAAUUCAUGCACUGGGCUUGUGAAUAGCAUAUUACUCUGCACAAUUAGACGCAGCUGCACAAGGAUUUCCACCUUGCUCCAAGCAGUGGCUGCUACCGCCUUGCUUGUAAAGAAAAAGCAGCUGAUUUGAAAUUAAAAAAAAAUUGUGGGUUAGAGUUCCACCGUCGCAGCCCUGUUGAUAACCAAAUCUACACAAUUUCUAUCGAAUCAGAGAUUGACUCGAUACGAGCAGAUACUACCAGCAAUUACCCUUAAACAGUGCACUACCUUAAAUGAUUGCAAAGUGGUAAUUCAAGAAUUUGACUGAUGUUACAUUGCCAGCUCCAGAUAUAGUUCUGUUUACUGAUAGCUCUUGUAAAGAAAACAGCUGGGGAGAGCUAGUAGCCAGAUAUGCAGUAAUUUCUCAAGUACUGAUAAAAUAAAAAUAAAAAGGAAGUGUAUACCACAUUAGAAAGUUUCGCUCUGCCACGAAGUGCACAAGCCGCAGAAUUAAUUGCUUUAACCAGAACCUAGCAAAAAGUUUGUCAAUAAAUAUUCAUACAAUAUUGUUUUGUAAUCUGUCAUGCAGUUGAGCAAAUCUAAGAAUAUAGAGGCUUUAUGACAGCCGCAGGAGGGCCUAUAGCAAAUAGCCCUUUAGCUGCAAAGUUGUUUGAAACAAUCUUGCAAAUCCAACACUAAAGAGAACACUCUUUUCCCAAGAUACUAUUCCAACGUAGGAAAAAGAAUCGUGCAACUUAAAGAAAAGAAUCUUAAGAGGAAAAUAAUAAUAAUAAAAAAUUGAGAAAAAUAAUGUAUGGGUAUUUUAUAAUGACAAACUAAUUGCAUCUUGAGAUUUAGUUAAGACACUGACAUACUUAAACAAUGGUGUGCCCCAAGAAUACACCUAAAAGCUAAAUGAGUGUGCCAAAAGUGUGUAACUUGCCUGAAGUUUUUAUAGUCCUAAACUAUCUGCACACACCCGUGAGUUUAUAGUCCAUUUCAAUAUUGCAGAUUGACUUUAUUGAAUUUACUAACGCAAUAAGAUUUAAAUACUGUUUUACUGUUGUGUGCAUUUUCAGUAGAUGGGUAGAAAGUUUUCCUGUAUAAUAUGCAACAGAAAAAUCCACAAUUAAAUGCUUACUAAGAGAAGUGGUGCCCAGAUUUAGCGUACCUUUAAAGGUGAAUUCAGACUAUACUAAGAAUUAAGUGAAAUUCCUUUGGUGUUAAUGAACUUGAGAAACAGCCCCAACAGAAAACAUAGACUCACACAACAUAAGAUUGUAUUUGGGAAGCUUAUGGCUGUUGGACUGUCUCUGCCAAAACCAUUUUUCCCCUCACUGAGAGCAGUGAGGAAAUAAUCUGUAAUGUUCUACACUUACACAGACUAUUAGUUCAACUCCAAAGAAAAAUGAGAAACAAGCAACUGAUUCCAGCUGAUGUUCCAUGUCAUCAUUUCUAACCAAGAGAUGCAGUGUUCAUAAAAGUCCAUAAAAAGCCCAAUUCGUUGGCUCCUACUUGGGACGGACCUUAUACUGUGUUGCUGACCACACACACCUGGAUACAUGCAGCCCAUGUGAAAAAGCUAAAUCCAGGAUGCCAGACAGAUGAUCCAGAUGAUCCAGUUGCACUAGAAAGUUACUCAGACCUGAUUGAGAUGUUAAAGGAUGAAAGAAGCUGUCAGGAGGAAGCCAAGAGAGCCCCCUGCACAUGCUAAGCGACCAAGUGUCCAGUGGAGAGAGCGAGUUGAGGCUGAAGAGCAGGAACUCCCCUCCACGGAACGACAUCUGGUCAGUCAGCAAGAUCAGCUGUCCUUUUAACCUCAAGUCAAGAGUUUCUGAGUUAACGAGGCAUAAUAACCCUCCAACGAAAUCUGGAUGCUCUAAGAGACAUUCAGUGAAGAGAAGAUAUUAAGACAACGCCGUUACAACUACUUUGUGUGUUUUUAACCUCUAUAGUUCUCUGAAUUGUAAAAAUGAAAUUUGAGUGUGUGUUAUUUCUUAUUAUACAAGCCCUGCCUUGCAUUGCAAUCCAAAAAAGAGUCUCAAAAGCAUACCAUGACUUGAGCAGGUAAAAAAAAAAAAAAAAAAGUGUUUAGUUGCAUUAUUAAGCAAAGAACAAAGGAGUGAAGAUUAGAGCUUUAAUAGAGAAUGGUUUUAUGGCUAUGGGCAAAGCAACGACCAUCAGGAGGGAAUCUGUCGCGGAAUUUUAGCUGGUUCUUUUGCUAUGCCCAUAGGUAUGAGAAAAUGGCCUAUCAUCCUUAGCUAUAGUUCAUAAAGUUCAUGGCUUCCUGUUCCUUUAAACCUUGUUUUUAAUGCUGCAAUUGCUUUUGCUUUUAGAGUUAAGUUAAUGCAGAAACUAUGUGACAACAUAGGCGUUGUCCACCCCGGCAGUCAGAGGGUGGAGGAUGCCUGCAAGGAAAGAUAACCAAGAAAAUAACAGAUAGAGAUGUUUUUCUGUAACUGUGAUAUCUUCUAGUCAACGAAGCACUCAUACUCUGUACAUGCCUAAAUGCUUAGCUUCUUAUUGGUUGUUGCAUUUUCAGAACUGUAUUAUGAUUGGUGAGAAAGUUCUGCCAUGGUAUCUAAGGGGAACUGACUCUAUAAAUAUGUUGACAUUUCCUGAAAUUAUUGGGCAGUUUCCUCAGACUGCCACCUUGCAGCGCUGCUCGUAAUAAACCUUCUAAGGAGAGAGAAA
This is a long non-coding RNA of Elgaria multicarinata webbii, 5021 nucleotides long. RefSeq lists it as uncharacterized. Lineage: Eukaryota; Metazoa; Chordata; Lepidosauria; Squamata; Anguidae. The record is from RefSeq and is a predicted model, not a curated record. The transcript is spliced from 2 exons.